This 3473-nucleotide unclassified non-coding RNA is filed under the name Hevea brasiliensis (rubber tree). Lineage: Eukaryota; Viridiplantae; Streptophyta; Magnoliopsida; Malpighiales; Euphorbiaceae. The record is from RNAcentral.
CUGUAUGUAAGGCUUCUGAAAAUUUUUCUAAAGCUUCUCAGCCACACAAUCUCACAGAAUGAAAAUGAUCAAACCUUCUAGAGCCCAACGUGAUCACCAACUCUCAUCUCACUGCCACGUGUUACACAAUGAAUGGAAAUGUUUGUAAUCUCACCUGCCAUAUCUGCACCUCCCCCCCACUCCAAGCACGCCAGCAAAUUGCACCCACUGAAGCUAAGGCUUGUCAUCCUCUGCUGUCUUCCCAUCCAAUCACCCAAAACAAAAAUCGGCAUAGAACUCCAUUCCUUAUGUUGGUUCAGGUCUUUUCUUCGUUUCCUUAAGGAGCCCAGAUUUUGUCUCUUGACAAAGAGUUAUACCAUGGAGGCCCUAAAUGCAGCAGGUUUGACCCCAAUAUCGGUUCUUUGUGAAAAAAGAACAGAACCCGAAAAAUUUUUAUGCCUCCCUGCUACUUCAUCACUCAAAUUCUCAAACUCUGCUUCUCUAAGCUUCACCCCACAUACUAAUACCAUACAAGAGUGCUUAUCAAGGACUUUUCAUGGGGGUCUAGUAGCCUUAUCUUCAGUUCUUAGCACUGGGUUAGCUAAAGCUUUAACAUAUAAGGAAGCACUACAACAGUCAACGAGCACCCCCGCAUCGGAUUUUGAUGCCAGUGGAGUUCUUGAUAAUGUUAUCAGUUUUGCAACUGAAAACCCAACUGUUAUAGGAGGUGGUGCUGCAAUUUUGGCAGUUCCAUUGGUUUUGUCUCAGAUUCUAAAGAAGCCCAAGCCAUGGGGUGUUGAGUCUGCAAGAAAAGCUUAUGCAGUAUUGGGAGAUGAUGCAAAUGCUCAGUUACUUGAUAUAAGAGCGCCAGUGGAGUUGAAAAAAAUGGGUACUCCUGAUAUCAGGGGUUUCAAAAAGAAGCCAGUGUCAAUUGCUUACAAAGGUGAUGAUAAGCCAGGUUUCUUGAAGAAGCUGUCUUUGAAGUUUAAGGAACCAGAAAAUACUACAUUGUUCAUUCUAGAUAAGUAAGAGUUUGGACCUAUUUGGAAUUCUGUUGUACUGAUUCCUCUCAUAAUAAUUAGGCUGUGAAUUAAUAAGGGAGUUCUUUUUAUAGAAUUUUUAAAUUAGACAGUUAGAUUAUGCUUUAUGAAAAUUGUUUCUUCAUGAGCUGAUUUAGGUAGUUUACCAUAUCAAGAAUUAGAUUUCAAUUAAUAAUGAGAAAAUAAUUAGAUUUAAAAGAUUUUGGUCUCUUUUAUUUUUUUCCCCUUGAAUUCAGAGGGCUGGUUGUGACUGAGAACUGUGUUAGUUCUUGCAUUGAAUUUCUUAUUGGGUUGCUCCAUCAAAUUCCAUGUUCCAUUUCAUAGAAGUAACAAUGUGCUAAAUGGUACACAUAAGAUCUGCAAUUUGAUUUGAAAAAUACAAACAGAAGAUCUUUGGCUGUGUUUGGUUUAGGUACACUACAUUUGCUCUUGAGCAUCAGUGUGAUGUUUGAGGCUAUGGAGAUAAAGCCCAGCCAAAAAGAUAAAGCAUAGCUGGCAAAUAGCACUACCCACAUUGGUAUGUUAAGUUAUAGCAUACUUUUAAAUCAUGAUGCCUCGUAGAUAGAAUUAUUCAUAAUUUCAAAGCACUAUAAUUAAUUUCCUCAACUAAGGAUUUCAACUGGUUCAUUGUCAACAUGACUUCCUUUUAGCGAAUUUAGUUACUUAGAAACCUUAUUUAGAUAUAUAAGGAAAAGCAAAAUUAGUAGAAUGAGAAAGAAAAGCAGCAGAAUAGAAGAAGUGGGAGGUCAGUCAGGUUGGUAAAUGAAAUAUCUGCUGAUUUUUUCACCUCUCACUUUGUCUCUCUUACUCAUGCAUGCAUGACUGCACUGCAUUCCAGUUCAUGUGAGCAUGCACAUAUGCAAAUAAAAUUUCCCUUGUGAUUUUAUCACGCACAAAAUAAUCAAAUUAGAGUUUCUGCUUGGUUGUUUGACAUUAAACUUACCAUAUAUAAACUAAUGUUGCGAAAUUUAUGAUGAAAGCCAGAUUCAAUGGGAACUCUGAACUGGUUGCAGAGUUGGUCACUGUAAACGGAUUUAAAGCUGCUUAUGCUAUAAAAGAUGGUGCAGAUGGACCACAGGGAUGGAUGGUAUUCUUUUAGUGUCACCUGUUUUCUAUUUAAUCUUUGUGUGUGCAAGUCUUGUUUGUCAUCUCAUACAGAAGUAACUAGAAAUUUGAAGAUGAACUCUGAUUUUGCAGAAUACUAGCGUUCCUUGGAUACCUCCAAGUAAAGGGUUGAGUCUUGAUCUUAGCAAUUUGACAGAUACUCUCAGCAAUGCACUUGGGGAGGGCUCGGAUGCCUUGCCUCUGACCAUUGGGAUUGCAGCAGCUGCUGGCUUAGGUGUGUUAGCAUUUUCAGAGGUCAGUUCAGUCUUUUCUCCUUUUGUUUUUUCCUUCAUUUUUCUUUAAAUUUUCAAUAAGCAAAUUUAUGAUGAGAAAUGCAAGAUUUCUUCUUUUUUUUCCCCUAUAUUUUUCCAGAUAGAAACAAUUCUCCAAGUAUUAGGCUCAGCUGCAAUUGUUCAGUUUGUGAGUCAGAAACUCCUGUUUGCAGAGGAACGUAAGAAAACUCUGCAGCAGGUUGAUGAAUUCUUGAACACCAUGGUUGCCCCUAAAGAGCUUGUUGGUGAUAUAAAGGUAUCUAAACUUAAUAUCUGAAACCUAGUAAUUUGUUUUUAUUUUGAUAUUGUAACCAAAUGACUAAUCUUUUUCUAAAUAAUAUAGCAUUGCUUAUUAAUCAUAGCUGUAAGACUUUUCUGUGAAAAUUACCUUGUAAAUUCAGCAAAUUGGGAAGGCUCUUCUACCAACAGUGGGGCCAAGUAAGGCACUCCCUCGACCUGUGGAACCAAGUUCAGAAUCUGCUGCUGCUGAUAGUACUAUACAGAAGUCAGAACCUGCUUCAGAGCCAGCUCCACAAAUAAAUUCAGUUGAAGCAGAAUCAGUUUCUGGGUUUCCAAGUCCCCUUUCGCCAUAUGCAUCUUAUCCAGAUUUCAAGCCCCCAACAUCUCCUACUCCAUCACAGCCCUAAAGUUAUAGUUGCAUGUCUUCAGGCGUGUUUCUACAAGAAGCAACCGUUUUGCCGGCCAUUUGUAGGGCUAUUUCAUGAGUUGUCCAAUCUGUGCUCUUGAAACGUAAAAUUUUAUGGCUUUACUUGACAUUCAAGCGAAGGAUUUAAGGGAUGAUUUGGGGUCUUCCAGCCAAUAAGAUUAUGUUUCUCUUAGCUCUUCAUAGCUUGUGGAUCUUUUGUAGAACUUGUUCAUGAUUUAACUAUAUAAACCAGUGUGGUAUGGUUCAGUUUUUUAAGACUGUAGAAAUAUAGCAUGUGUAAAAUCCGUAUGUAACUUUCACUGGGAUAGUUACGUGCCAUGUUUGUGUGAACUAAGACUUCUUAAGUUCUCUCCGCUGUUUAAAAUUAUAAAUUUCAAUAUUGUUUUCCUAAGGAUGGGACGUUAAACCCAA